Taeniopygia guttata (zebra finch) is the source of this 3477-nucleotide long non-coding RNA. NCBI's taxonomy places the organism in Eukaryota, Metazoa, Chordata, Aves, Passeriformes, Estrildidae. The record is from Ensembl.
UUGGUCCAUAUCACAAAGGAGGUUCAUGUCCUGUGCUUCACUUGAGGAGUGUUUCAAAGCAGUGAUUCAAGGAUGAGACCACACCCAGACUGCUGCAGGUGGACAGAGCCCAAGGAAGGGCCACAGGGAUGAUUAAGGCACUGGAGAAUCUCUCCUGUGAGGAAAACUGAGACAGCCGAGACUGACACGCCUGGAGAAGGCUUGGAGGAGAUCUUAUGCAUGAAUAUCUGAAGGGAGAGUGCAAAGAUGGAGCCAGGCUCUUCUCACCAGUGCCCAGUGAUGCACCAGAGGCAAAGGGUACGAACUGAAACACUGGAGGCUCCCCCUGAACAUCAGGAAACACUUCCACCACAAGAACAGCAGCACCAGCACAGGGGACCAGAGAGACUGGGGCAUCUCCUCUGUCAGAGGUGCUCCAAAGCCAGCUGGACACAAUCCUGGGCUUGGGAAGCCCUGCCUGAGCCUCUGCAUUGGAUGUGAGCACCUCCAGAGCUCCCUGCCAACCUCAACCAUACUGUGAAGAAAAGGCUAAGUCAGCAGUUAAGCUGAACUCAAAGAGCAUCACUUUACUUCUGAGUGCCCACACAGAGUGUGGGUGUUUAACAAAUGUGGCACAACAAAUCCUCUUUAAUUUCACACUUUUAAUAAUUCAGGUUAUCUUGUUUAUGUAGGCACAAGAAGAAAACUCCCUAAGCAGUGAUAUUUUCAUAUCACAUGUUUUCUUUAGCUUUUUGGGGGUUUUUUUUAAGGAAAAGAAAUCAAAUUAUCUGCAACUGCUGCAUAUCCUGUGCAUCAGCAGCUGAAGAGGCCCUUACCACUUAAUCUAUUGGACUAUACCCUUUGCUAAGAGCAGUAGAAGAUUGAGAGUCUGGCACUGCUUCAACCUGACCUUGAGCUGGGAAUUAAUUUUUAAGAGUCCCUUCUUUCCUCUCAUUGCUCUUUAAUAAAUUUUAAGCUUUACUUCUUCAAGGAUUGUUAUUACAAAGCUGGUGUGCAGUUACACUAGGGUGGUUCAUUGUGUUAUUCCAUAUUAGAGAUAAAAGUGCAAAUAACACUUCCUGAACAAAACAUCUGUGUAAAAGUUUAAUUAGAUUUCUAACUGCAUCACAAUAAUUAUUCCACAAACUGGGGGAGCAGAGCAGUUCUGUACUUUCAUUUUAAAAAUACCAAAUAAUGCAUGAUUGCAUGCAUUCCUUAAAAACAGUUUCUGCCUGAAGCUAUAAGUUACAAGAAUUUAACUAAAGCAAAAUGAAAGCCAUGUGCCAGCUAGUGCAAGAGAUCAUCAUCAAAGACAUUAACCAGGUAAAUAUUGCAACAAGAAUAAAACAAAAUCACAAUAAAUACUCCUUAUUUGCUAAUCUAUUUUAUUUUAAAUGGGUAUACCUGUCAGUAAAAGACCAUUAUUUAUAAAUAACUUUCCCACUGAAAGCAAUUCUUCAGCCUUUCUUUAUCUCAAUAAAUAUAAAUUUUCCAAACUUUCAAUAAUGAGAAGGCAGAUGCACAUAACUAAAAGCCUGUCACUAUUUCAAUUUUAAGACUGCUCAAGGGGAAGGGACAUCACACUUAGGGGGAUUCCAAGUUGUCAGCAGUGCCUUUUUUCACAGCUAGGUCCUUGCCAAGCCAUUUAAAGGCAAGCUUGCUAUUUUGCAUAUCACUAACACCCGCCCAUCCUUCACAUUUCCCUCCACUACUGCCCUUUUGUAUUAUACAUCAAAGCACAGACCUCUUAAGUAGCAUGAUGGAAAAAAAAAAAAAAAAAAGAGAGACACUAAUGUUACUUACAUUCCAUCACACUGUUACUCCUUGCUUUUACUUGUCAUUCCCUUUGAAUCCCCUAUUGAUGUGACACACUGGGACGUGGAUGUAUUACAGAUGCAGCAUGAUUCAUCAGGAGUACAUGGCUCCACUUGCAGCACAAAAAUGUUCUUAGGAGGUACCCGAGUUCAUUGAAUCUGUGUUUCUCACUAGGAGGUCAUUUUAAUCUUUUUCUUGGCUUUCCCAGACCGCUUUCCCUGCAUCCCUGCUCUGCAGUCAAGGACUGUGCUCUUAAAGAGCUGUGGGCAGUGGGCUGAAGUAAUGCAUGCUGGAUUGUGCCCUCCAUUCUGCCUUCAAAUACCCUGAAAAAUGUUCAGACCUGGUGGAAAUUGUGACUAGAUCUGAUGAUCUCCUGAACUCCUGACACCUGACAAGUUAAUAGAGUCAUUUGUGCCCCUUUACCAGCUCCAGAUACUUUCAUUUUCUAAGAAAAAAAUACCUUUCCUGGAUCAAAUCUUUCUAUGACACAAAAAUAUAAUAUCUCCUUGAUGAUGAGUAGCCUUGAGGAGCUUAUACUGUGGCUCUGUCUCAGGAAAAAAGAGGAUAUAAUUAUCUGCAGAGAUAGAGAGAAGAAAAAAACCACUGGAAAAUAACAACUUCAUGAGCAUUUAAUCCUGGCAUAGAGUGGCAUGGUCACAGUUCAUUCCUGCCUCUUUCAUCUCUGGCUGGUUUUAGGUGGGUUUAGUUCUCCCAGCCUGCAGAGGAGGGGGCAGCUCGAGGACAGCACAGAGCAGAACUGCCCAGGAGAAGGCAGAUCCAUCAGGCAGCUUUUUCAGCACCAGGGGAACUUUGUGUUACCUCAAAAUGUGCAUGAAACUGCACUGUUAAUACUUGUGUUGCCAGAACUGAAGAGUGCUAUUUUGUUCUGUAGUCCAUUUCCUAUAAAACCUUGGAAUUCCACAGGAUGAGUACUCAGAUGUACUAUUCCAAGUGCUUGACUGCAGAUUGUGGCCAAACUAAAACUGAAGCCAGCUGUAUUCCUUGCAAAUUACCACUGCAAGCCCUGUGCCUUCCUGCUGCUUUGCAAUUCCAUUACUCUCUGUAGUUUUGCCAAGUUUGCUACUGCAUAUAAAGAAUAUAGGCUUUCAUUUUAAAGGAAACAUACAUACACUCGAUAAUCUUAUAUGAAUUUUGUUGUUUCAAAUAACUGAGGACUGAUGCUGUUGAGGCAGGACGGGAAUGAAUAGACUUUUUUUCAGAAGGCAGCAAGUAUAACUCUGGUUUAUUUUAAAAUACAUCCCUUUUUUAUACAGAGCUUCGUGCAGACCAACUCGAUUGGUCCUGAAGUGGAAACAAGUCACACUACUGGUGUACAGUGCAUGACACAAAGUGGCAGAACUUAAUUAUAAACAAUGUGAACAGCAAGAAAGAUAAAGAAUUUAUUUACAUUCUUCUCAGCAGUUUCUCAGGCUUUUGCCUGGUUAGAGAUUUUCCGUUUCUCUCUUUGACUGAAUCUGAGACCGACAGAGGACAAAUCUGGCUUCCAAUUUCUUUAGAAGUUUGUCAAACACUCCCUGCAAACCCCUCAAAUGGUAACUUGUCAAAAGUUUCACUACUGAAAACUUUUAGAGACAUAAAAAUCUUUUAAGCAACACUACACAGGCAAAAACUCACAGUUAUCCAAGGAGGCUUUGGGACAAACCAGAAGAUGGAAAGAUUUCU